CCGGCAACAAUAUCCUGGUGCUGUCUGAGUGUGCAUCACCGACUCCAGCAUCAGUGAUUUUGUUGCUGG
RNAcentral lists this microRNA precursor (69 nucleotides) under Scleropages formosus (Asian bonytongue). RNAcentral describes it as "mir-338 microRNA precursor family". It matches the Rfam family "mir-338 microRNA precursor family". Lineage: Eukaryota; Metazoa; Chordata; Actinopteri; Osteoglossiformes; Osteoglossidae. The record is from Rfam by way of RNAcentral.